Molecule: ribosomal RNA, 482 nt
Filed under: uncultured bacterium
Lineage: Bacteria
Description: partial 16S ribosomal RNA
Rfam family: Bacterial small subunit ribosomal RNA
Source: RNAcentral
AUUGAACGCUGGCGGCAUGCCUUACACAUGCAAGUCGAACGGUAAGAGGUCUUCGGAUGCUGACGAGUGGCGAACGGGUGAGUAAUACAUCGGAACGUGCCCAGACGUGGGGGAUAACGAGGCGAAAGCUUUGCUAAUACCGCAUACGAUCUAAGGAUGAAAGCAGGGGACCGCAAGGCCUUGUGCGUUUGGAGCGGCCGAUGGCAGAUUAGGUAGUUGGUGGGAUAAAAGCUUACCAAGCCGACGAUCUGUAGCUGGUCUGAGAGGACGACCAGCCACACUGGGACUGAGACACGGCCCAGACUCCUACGGGAGGCAGCAGUGGGGAAUUUUGGACAAUGGGCGAAAGCCUGAUCCAGCAAUGCCGCGUGCAGGAUGAAGGCCUUCGGGUUGUAAACUGCUUUUGUACGGAACGAAAAGGCUCUGGCUAAUACCUGGGGCACAUGACGGUACCGUAAGAAUAAGCACCGGCUAACUACGUG